UAGUAAAAAUUGACGUUUUAC
This 21-nucleotide non-coding RNA is filed under the name Caenorhabditis elegans. Lineage: Eukaryota; Metazoa; Nematoda; Chromadorea; Rhabditida; Rhabditidae. The record is from RNAcentral.